AGAGGAGCUUGCUCUUCUUGGAUGAGUUGCGAACGGGUGAGUAACGCGUAGGUAACCUGCCUUGUAGCGGGGGAUAACUAUUGGAAACGAUAGCUAAUACCGCAUAACAAUGGAUGACACAUGUCAUUUAUUUGAAAGGGGCAAUUGCUCCACUACAAGAUGGACCUGCGUUGUAUUAGCUAGUAGGUGAGGUAAUGGCUCACCUAGGCGACGAUACAUAGCCGACCUGAGAGGGUGAUCGGCCACACUGGGACUGAGACACGGCCCAGACUCCUACGGGAGGCAGCAGUAGGGAAUCUUCGGCAAUGGGGGCAACCCUGACCGAGCAACGCCGCGUGAGUGAAGAAGGUUUUCGGAUCGUAAAGCUCUGUUGUAAGUCAAGAACGGGUGUGAGAGUGGAAAGUUCACACUGUGACGGUAGCUUACCAGAAAGGGACGGCUAACUACGUGCCAGCAGCCGCGGUAAUACGUAGGUCCCGAGCGUUGUCCGGAUUUAUUGGGCGUAAAGCGAGCGCAGGCGGUUUGAUAAGUCUGAAGUUAAAGGCUGUGGCUCAACCAUAGUUCGCUUUGGAAACUGUCAAACUUGAGUGCAGAAGGGGAGAGUGGAAUUCCAUGUGUAGCGGUGAAAUGCGUAGAUAUAUGGAGGAACACCGGUGGCGAAAGCGGCUCUCUGGUCUGUAACUGACGCUGAGGCUCGAAAGCGUGGGGAGCGAACAGGAUUAGAUACCCUGGUAGUCCACGCCGUAAACGAUGAGUGCUAGGUGUUGGAUCCUUUCCGGGAUUCAGUGCCGCAGCUAACGCAUUAAGCACUCCGCCUGGGGAGUACGACCGCAAGGUUGAAACUCAAAGGAAUUGACGGGGGCCCGCACAAGCGGUGGAGCAUGUGGUUUAAUUCGAAGCAACGCGAAGAACCUUACCAGGUCUUGACAUCCCGAUGCUAUUUCUAGAGAUAGAAAGUUACUUCGGUACAUCGGUGACAGGUGGUGCAUGGUUGUCGUCAGCUCGUGUCGUGAGAUGUUGGGUUAAGUCCCGCAACGAGCGCAACCCCUAUUGUUAGUUGCCAUCAUUCAGUUGGGCACUCUAGCGAGACUGCCGGUAAUAAACCGGAGGAAGGUGGGGAUGACGUCAAAUCAUCAUGCCCCUUAUGACCUGGGCUACACACGUGCUACAAUGGUUGGUACAACGAGUUGCGAGUCGGUGACGGCGAGCUAAUCUCUUAAAGCCAAUCUCAGUUCGGAUUGUAGGCUGCAACUCGCCUACAUGAAGUCGGAAUCGCUAGUAAUCGCGGAUCAGCACGCCGCGGUGAAUACGUUCCCGGGCCUUGUACACACCGCCCGUCACACCACGAGAGUUUGUAAC
This 1359-nucleotide ribosomal RNA is filed under the name Streptococcus thermophilus. RNAcentral's name for it is "bacterial SSU rRNA". It matches the Rfam family "Bacterial small subunit ribosomal RNA", at positions 72 to 1418 of the family's 1533-position model. The record is from RNAcentral. Lineage: Bacteria; Bacillati; Bacillota; Bacilli; Lactobacillales; Streptococcaceae.